RNAcentral lists this ribosomal RNA (389 nucleotides) under uncultured bacterium. RNAcentral's name for it is "bacterial SSU rRNA". It matches the Rfam family "Bacterial small subunit ribosomal RNA", at positions 29 to 417 of the family's 1533-position model. The record is from RNAcentral.
AUUGAACGCUGGCGGAAUGCUUUACACAUGCAAGUCGAGCGGCAGCGCGGGGGCAACCCUGGCGGCGAGCGGCGAACGGGGUGAGUAACAUAUCGGAACGUACCCUGUCGUGGGGGAUAACUAUCCGAAAGGAUAGCUAAUACCGCAUACGACCUGAGGGUGAAAGCGGGGGAUCGCAAGACCUCGCGCGAUAGGAGCGGCCGAUAUCGGAUUAGCUAGUUGGUGGGGUAAAGGCUCACCAAGGCGACGAUCCGUAGCUGGUCUGAGAGGACGACCAGCCACACUGGAACUGAGACACGGUCCAGACUCCUACGGGAGGCAGCAGUGGGGAAUUUUGGACAAUGGGCGAAAGCCUGAGUCCAGCCAUUCCGCGUGAGUGAAGAAGGCCU